RNAcentral lists this ribosomal RNA (388 nucleotides) under uncultured bacterium. RNAcentral describes it as "bacterial SSU rRNA". It matches the Rfam family "Bacterial small subunit ribosomal RNA", at positions 28 to 417 of the family's 1533-position model. The record is from RNAcentral.
GACGAACGCUGGCGGCGUGCUUAACACAUGCAAGUCGAGCGGUAAGGCCCUUUCGGGGGUACACGAGCGGCGAACGGGUGAGUAACACGUGGGUGACCUGCCCUCAGCUCUGGGAUAAGCCUGGGAAACCGGGUCUAAUACUGGAUAUGACUCCAUGACGCAUGUUGUGGGGUGGAAAGCCUUGUGCGGCUGAGGAUGGGCCCGCGGCCUAUCAGCUUGUUGGUGGGGUGAUGGCCUACCAAGGCGACGACGGGUAGCCGGCCUGAGAGGGCGACCGGCCACACUGGGACUGAGACACGGCCCAGACUCCUACGGGAGGCAGCAGUGGGGAAUCUUGCGCAAUGGGCGAAAGCCUGACGCAGCGACGCCGCGUGAGGGAUGACGGCCU